This 483-nucleotide ribosomal RNA is filed under the name uncultured bacterium. RNAcentral describes it as "bacterial SSU rRNA". It matches the Rfam family "Bacterial small subunit ribosomal RNA", at positions 28 to 507 of the family's 1533-position model. The record is from RNAcentral.
GAUGAACGCUGGCGGCGUGCUUAACACAUGCAAGUCGAACGGUCCUGUUUUUGAAGCGCUUCGGCGUGGAGGGGACGGGGCAGUGGCGCACGGGUGAGUAAUGCGCGAGGACCUGCCCGCAGGAGGGGGACAGCAGUUGGAAACGGCUGGUGAUACCCCGUAGGCCGGGAGGUGAAAGGGCGGAGACGCCCGCCUGCGGAUGGACUCGCGUCCUAUCAGCUAGUUGGUGAGGCAACGGCUCACCAAGGCGACGACGGGUAGCCGGCCUGAGAGGGUGUCCGGCCACACUGGAACUGAGACACGGACCAGACUCCUACGGGAGGCAGCAGUGAGGAAUAUUGGUCAAUGGACGAAAGUCUGAACCAGCCAUGCCGCGUGGAGGAUGAAGGUCCUCUGGAUUGUAAACUUCUUUUAUAUGGGACGAAAAAGGGUUUUCUAACUCGUCUGACGGUACCAUAUGAAUAAGCACCGGCUAACUCCGUG